GACGAACGCUGGCGGCGUGCUUAACACAUGCAAGUCGAGCGAUGAAGUUCCUUCGGGAACGGAUUAGCGGCGGACGGGUGAGUAACACGUGGGUAACCUGCCUCAUAGAGAGGAAUAGCCUUUCGAAAGGAAGAUUAAUACCGCAUAAGAUUGUAGUUUCGCAUGAAACAGCAAUUAAAGGAGUAAUCCGCUAUGAGAUGGACCCGCGUCGCAUUAGCUAGUUGGUGAGGUAACGGCUCACCAAGGCGACGAUGCGUAGCCGACCUGAGAGGGUGAUCGGCCACAUUGGGACUGAGACACGGCCCAGACUCCUACGGGAGGCAGCAGUGGGGAAUAUUGCACAAUGGGGGAAACCCUGAUGCAGCAACGCCGCGUGAGUGAUGACGGUCUUCGGAUUGUAAAACUCUGUCUUCAGGGACGAUAAUGACGGUACCUGAGGAGGAAGCCACGGCUAACUACGUGCCAGCAGCCGCGGUAAUACGUAGGUGGCAAGCGUUGUCCGGAUUUACUGGGCGUAAAGGGAGCGUAGGUGGAUAUUUAAGUGGGAUGUGAAAUACUCGGGCUUAACCUGGGUGCUGCAUUCCAAACUGGAUAUCUAGAGUGCAGGAGAGGAAAGUAGAAUUCCUAGUGUAGCGGUGAAAUGCGUAGAGAUUAGGAAGAAUACCAGUGGCGAAGGCGACUUUCUGGACUGUAACUGACACUGAGGCUCGAAAGCGUGGGGAGC
This 724-nucleotide ribosomal RNA is filed under the name uncultured bacterium. RNAcentral describes it as "bacterial SSU rRNA". It matches the Rfam family "Bacterial small subunit ribosomal RNA", at positions 28 to 769 of the family's 1533-position model. The record is from RNAcentral.